AAACCUCGAGCUGGCCAAAUUCUUUGGAUAAGAGGACUAACACGUUUACAAACUCAGGUAAAUGCCAAAAAAGUGCAAGUUCCUGAACAGGUACACGGCUGAGAGGUCCCACAUACUACGCAGUAGAUAAUUUCAGGAGUUAAAAUCUCUUCCAAAAGGACUUUUUGACAGUCAUAGGAAACCCCCUUCUAGGAAGCAUGCAGUCUUUAUUGGGAUAAGUGGAAAUUUGCUAAUGAUGAAUUUGAGAGUUUCAUCAUCAUCAAUCCUUCAGUUCUACGGAUUUGCCACAAAACUACAUUGCUUAUAAUAUCAGAAAAUACUUCAAAAUAAUCCAACGCCAGAACCAAAGAAACUGUAUUUAUAGAGAAUAAGUGUCCUGGUCGAUGGGUUCAGGAUUAUGGCAGCCCUACGCUACUGCAUCUGAGAGGAACAUUUUAAUGGCCAAUAAGCUGAUAAAAGUUGGUGUUGUGUGCUCGUUUAUGGCUGGAAUUCUCUGAUUCUCCCAAAACUGGCGAACAAAUCAUAACAAAAGCAGCGGCAUCAAUACAAAAGCAUAAUCUUUCUCCACUGGUGGUACCAAUAAAUCGCAGGACAUUCUCGAUAGCCUGAUAAAACCGUAAUGGUAAAGAGUGACCAUUUUCCUCUGGUCUCUGCGCGUGCGCUAACGAGGUCAUUUGGUGAGAUCGUAUGCGCUCAACAGCUCCUGUACGUCACAUUAUCAUGAGUAUCAUCGAUUCAAGAGCUACAUCUCGUUUCGAAAGAAAAAUAAAUAAAUAAAAGUAUAGAAAAUUUUAUUAUGGUCGGAGAGCAACAGCAUCAACAACUGAGUUGCUAGCUGAAUUUCAAAGGUUUCUUAAAUACCUUCCAAGUCAGCAAAAAAUUAUUUGGACACAUUUUCAGCGAAAUUAGCAUCCAUAUGAAAGACACCUACCGCAAUACUCACUUGCCACCACAACUGAAACUGUCCACAUUUCUACGCUUUCUUGCAACUGGAAGCUAUCAAAAGUCGGUGGGUAACGAAAGUGUCUCAGUAAUGGGUCAGUCGACAGUUGCAAAAAUAAUAGCGGAAUGCUUGGACAUUUUUAAGGAGCAGGAGGAAAAAUAAAACGACGUGAAAGAGCAAUUCUUCAACAAAUGUGGAAUACCUGGCGUAGUUGGCUGUGUGGACGGGACCCACAUGCGUAUAAAAGCACCCAAUUCAAACUGCAGACAUCUUUACUACAAUAGAAAGAGGUUUUAUAGCAUCAAUGUAAUGGUGAUAUGUGAUCACGAUAUGGUAAUUACAUUUGUUGACGCAAGACAUCCUGGUGCUAACCAUGACUCCUUCAUUUGGAAAACCAGUGCCGCAGAGGAACAACUUCGAUUGGCUUUCAAUAAUGGGGAGUCAAAUACCUGGAUACUAGGUAUGGAGGAGGCCCUUCGGGGUAUCCCCUGCAGCUCUUUUUGAUGACGCCGUAUAGAAAUCCAUCAGAUGUAGUACAAAGACGAUACAAUGAUAAACACUGUAAGGUUCGAAACAUCAUUGAGCGCUGUUUUGGAGUUUUGAAGAAUAGAUUCCGAUGUAUAAUUGGCUCAAGAGGGCUUCAUUAUUCCGCAGAGAAGACAACGCAAAUUGUGAAUGCAUGUUGUGCAAUUCACAACAUCUGUAUAUUUUACAAAAAUUAUUUGUCUCUCAUCCCAAUCGAAGCUGAAGAUGCUAUUGAGCCAAAUGAUGAAGACCUAGUACUUGAGGAUCUUUCUACAGUAGCAGCUAAUAUAAGAACACAAAUAGCAAACAAUUUAUAAUAAAAUUUCUCUAAGUACACUUUUAUUCACAGAAUUCAUAACAUUUCAUGCUUAUUAAUAUUAAUCCCUA
RNAcentral lists this unclassified non-coding RNA (1855 nucleotides) under Rhagoletis pomonella (apple maggot). RNAcentral describes it as "putative nuclease HARBI1, transcript variant X8". Lineage: Eukaryota; Metazoa; Arthropoda; Insecta; Diptera; Tephritidae. The record is from RNAcentral.